This is a small nuclear RNA of Hyaena hyaena (striped hyena), 107 nucleotides long. The record is from RefSeq and is a predicted model, not a curated record. Lineage: Eukaryota; Metazoa; Chordata; Mammalia; Carnivora; Hyaenidae.
GUGCUCCCUUCAGCAGCAUAUAUACUAAAAUUGGAACAAUACGAUGAAGAUUAGCAUGGUGUCUGCCCAAGGAUUACACGCAAAUUCAUGAAGUGUUGCAUUAAAGA